RNAcentral lists this ribosomal RNA (468 nucleotides) under uncultured bacterium. RNAcentral's name for it is "partial 16S ribosomal RNA". It matches the Rfam family "Bacterial small subunit ribosomal RNA", at positions 28 to 507 of the family's 1533-position model. The record is from RNAcentral.
GACGAACGCUGGCGGCGUGCUUAAUACAUGCAAGUCGAACGGAAAGGCCCUACUUUUGUGGGGUGCUCGAGAGGCGAACAGGUGAGUAACACGUGAGUAACCUGCCCUUGACUUUGUGGUAACUUUAGGGAACUGGGGCUCAUACCGGAUAGGAGCUCCUGAUGCAUGGUGGGGAAUGGUAAGUUUCGGCGGUUGGGGAUGGACUCGCGGCUUAUGAGCUUGUUGGUGUGGUAGGUGCUUACCAAGGUUUUGACGGGUAGCCGGCCUGAGAGGGUGACCGGGCUCAUUGGGACUGAGAGACGGCCCAGACGCCUACGGGAGGCAGCAGUGGGGAGUAUUGCGCAAUGGGCGGAAGCCUGAUGCAGCGACGCCGCGUGCGGGAUGACGGCCUUCUGGUUGUAAACAGCUUUCGCCGGUGACGAAGCGUGAGUGACGGUAAUGGGUAAAGAAGCACCGGCUAACUACGUG